ACAAAUUGGUCAUGGGAUGAAUUUUAUCCAAUUAAAGACAUUCAUUCAUUUUGGGAAAUGAAAUAUACAUUUCAUCAAUCCCCUAAAUCCAAUGAUUUUAAUCCAACAAAAGUCAAAUCAACCUUGACCAAGGCCCAAACAAAUAGUCAAACAUCAAAAGUCAAUAAAAAUGGCUCAACAUAAUUUUUACACAAUAAUCAAUUAAAAAU
This 209-nucleotide long non-coding RNA is filed under the name Lathyrus oleraceus (garden pea). RNAcentral's name for it is "Pisum sativum (pea) long non-coding RNA (PSAT_LNC024752)". Lineage: Eukaryota; Viridiplantae; Streptophyta; Magnoliopsida; Fabales; Fabaceae. The record is from RNAcentral.